CUUUAUGGCAGCUGUGCGCGGGAGGCAUUCGUGCCGCCGGGGUUCCUAUUGUCCCGAUUCUCAGCCCGCGUACGGCUGCCACCCUC
Molecule: non-coding RNA, 86 nt
Filed under: Pseudomonas lundensis
Lineage: Bacteria; Pseudomonadati; Pseudomonadota; Gammaproteobacteria; Pseudomonadales; Pseudomonadaceae
Source: RNAcentral